UGUGCCAGCCGCCGCGGUAAUACAGAGGGUGCGAGCGUUAAUCGGAUUUACUGGGCGUAAAGCGUGCGUAGGCGGCUUUUUAAGUCGGAUGAGAAAUCCCCGAGCUUAACUUGGGAAUUGCAUUCGAUACUGGGAAGCUAGAGUAUGGGAGAGGAUGGUAGAAUUCCAGGUGUAGCGGUGAAAUGCGUAGAGAUCUGGAGGAAUACCGAUGGCGAAGGCAGCCAUCUGGCCUAAUACUGGCGCUGAGGUACGAAAGCAUGGGGAGCAAACAGGAUUAGAUACCCUGGUAGUCCAUGCCGUAAACGAUGUCUACUAGCCGUUGGGGCCUUUGAGGCUUUAGUGGCGCAGCUAACGCGAUAAGUAGACCGCCUGGGGAGUACGGUCGCAAGACUAAAACUCAAAUGAAUUGACGGGGGCCCGCACAAGCGGUGGAGCAUGUGGUUUAAUUCGAUGCAACGCGAAGAACCUUACCUGGCCUUGACAUACUAGAAACUUUCCAGAGAUGGAUUGGUGCCUUCGGGAAUCUAGAUACAGGUGCUGCAUGGCUGUCGUCAGCUCGUGUCGUGAGAUGUUGGGUUAAGUCCCGCAACGAGCGCAACCCUUUUCCUUACUUGCCAGCAUUUCGGAUGGGAACUUUAAAGAUACUGCCAGUGACAAACUGGAGGAAGGCGGGGACGACGUCAAGUCAUCAUGGCCCUUACGGCCAGGGCUACACACGUGCUACAAUGGUCGGUACAAAGGGUUGCUACACAGCGAUGUGAUGCUAUCUCAAAAAGCCGAUCGUAGUCCGGGAUUGGAGUCUGCAACUCGACUCCAUGAGUCGGAAUCGCUAGUAAUC
This 838-nucleotide ribosomal RNA is filed under the name uncultured bacterium. Its description in RNAcentral is "bacterial SSU rRNA". It matches the Rfam family "Bacterial small subunit ribosomal RNA", at positions 504 to 1343 of the family's 1533-position model. The record is from RNAcentral.